GAUGAACGCUGGCGGCGUGCUUAACACAUGCAAGUCGAACGAGAAAUGGAGACGGAAACCUUCGGGCGGAAGGCUUCAUUUCGAGUGGCGGCCGGGUGAGUAACGCGUGGGUAACCUGCCUCAUACAGGGGGAUAACAGUUGGAAACGACUGUUAAUACCGCAUAAGACCACAGCACCGCAUGGUGCGGGGGUAAAAACUCCGGUGGUAUGAGAUGGACCCGCGUUCGAUUAGCCAGUUGGCGGGGUAACGGCCCACCAAAGCGACGAUCGAUAGCCGAUCUGAGAGGAUGACCGGCCACAUUGGGACUGAGACACGGCCCAAACUCCUACGGGAGGCAGCAGUGGGGAAUAUUGCACAAUGGGGGAAACCCUGAUGCAGCGACGCCGCGUGAGUGAAGAAGUACUUCGGUAUGUAAAGCUCUAUCAGCAGGGAAGAAAAUGACGGUACCUGAGUAAGAAGCCCCGGCUAACUACGUG
This 478-nucleotide ribosomal RNA is filed under the name uncultured bacterium. RNAcentral describes it as "partial 16S ribosomal RNA". It matches the Rfam family "Bacterial small subunit ribosomal RNA", at positions 28 to 507 of the family's 1533-position model. The record is from RNAcentral.